UUAAGCGACUAAGCGUACACGGUGGAUGCCCUGGCAGUCAGAGGCGAUGAAGGACGUGCUAAUCUGCGAUAAGCGUCGGUGAGGUGAUAUGAACCGUUAUAACCGGCGAUUUCCGAAUGGGGAAACCCAGUGUGUUUCGACACACUAUCAUUAACUGAAUCCAUAGGUUAAUGAGGCGAACCGGGGGAACUGAAACAUCUAAGUACCCCGAGGAAAAGAAAUCAACCGAGAUUCCCCCAGUAGCGGCGAGCGAACGGGGAGGAGCCCAGAGCCUGAAUCAGUGUGUGUGUUAGUGGAAGCGUCUGGAAAGGCGCGCGAUACAGGGUGACAGCCCCGUACACAAAAAUGCACAUAUUGUGAGCUCGAUGAGUAGGGCGGGACACGUGGUAUCCUGUCUGAAUAUGGGGGGACCAUCCUCCAAGGCUAAAUACUCCUGACUGACCGAUAGUGAACCAGUACCGUGAGGGAAAGGCGAAAAGAACCCCGGCGAGGGGAGUGAAAAAGAACCUGAAACCGUGUACGUACAAGCAGUGGGAGCCUCUUAAUGGGGUGACUGCGUACCUUUUGUAUAAUGGGUCAGCGACUUAUAUUCUGUAGCAAGGUUAACCGAAUAGGGGAGCCGAAGGGAAACCGAGUCUUAACUGGGCGUUAAGUUGCAGGGUAUAGACCCGAAACCCGGUGAUCUAGCCAUGGGCAGGUUGAAGGUUGGGUAACACUAACUGGAGGACCGAACCGACUAAUGUUGAAAAAUUAGCGGAUGACUUGUGGCUGGGGGUGAAAGGCCAAUCAAACCGGGAGAUAGCUGGUUCUCCCCGAAAGCUAUUUAGGUAGCGCCUCGUGAAUUCAUCUCCGGGGGUAGAGCACUGUUUCGGCAAGGGGGUCAUCCCGACUUACCAACCCGAUGCAAACUGCGAAUACCGGAGAAUGUUAUCACGGGAGACACACGGCGGGUGCUAACGUCCGUCGUGAAGAGGGAAACAACCCAGACCGCCAGCUAAGGUCCCAAAGUCAUGGUUAAGUGGGAAACGAUGUGGGAAGGCCCAGACAGCCAGGAUGUUGGCUUAGAAGCAGCCAUCAUUUAAAGAAAGCGUAAUAGCUCACUGGUCGAGUCGGCCUGCGCGGAAGAUGUAACGGGGCUAAACCAUGCACCGAAGCUGCGGCAGCGACACUAUGUGUUGUUGGGUAGGGGAGCGUUCUGUAAGCCUGUGAAGGUGGCCUGUGAGGGUUGCUGGAGGUAUCAGAAGUGCGAAUGCUGACAUAAGUAACGAUAAAGCGGGUGAAAAGCCCGCUCGCCGGAAGACCAAGGGUUCCUGUCCAACGUUAAUCGGGGCAGGGUGAGUCGACCCCUAAGGCGAGGCCGAAAGGCGUAGUCGAUGGGAAACAGGUUAAUAUUCCUGUACUUGGUGUUACUGCGAAGGGGGGACGGAGAAGGCUAUGUUGGCCGGGCGACGGUUGUCCCGGUUUAAGCGUGUAGGCUGGUUUUCCAGGCAAAUCCGGAAAAUCAAGGCUGAGGCGUGAUGACGAGGCACUACGGUGCUGAAGCGACAAAUGCCCUGCUUCCAGGAAAAGCCUCUAAGCAUCAGGUAACAUCAAAUCGUACCCCAAACCGACACAGGUGGUCAGGUAGAGAAUACCAAGGCGCUUGAGAGAACUCGGGUGAAGGAACUAGGCAAAAUGGUGCCGUAACUUCGGGAGAAGGCACGCUGAUAUGUAGGUGAAGCGACUUGCUCGUGGAGCUGAAAUCAGUCGAAGAUACCAGCUGGCUGCAACUGUUUAUUAAAAACACAGCACUGUGCAAACACGAAAGUGGACGUAUACGGUGUGACGCCUGCCCGGUGCCGGAAGGUUAAUUGAUGGGGUUAGCGGUAACGCGAAGCUCUUGAUCGAAGCCCCGGUAAACGGCGGCCGUAACUAUAACGGUCCUAAGGUAGCGAAAUUCCUUGUCGGGUAAGUUCCGACCUGCACGAAUGGCGUAAUGAUGGCCAGGCUGUCUCCACCCGAGACUCAGUGAAAUUGAACUCGCUGUGAAGAUGCAGUGUACCCGCGGCAAGACGGAAAGACCCCGUGAACCUUUACUAUAGCUUGACACUGAACAUUGAGCCUUGAUGUGUAGGAUAGGUGGGAGGCUUUGAAGUGUGGACGCCAGUCUGCAUGGAGCCGACCUUGAAAUACCACCCUUUAAUGUUUGAUGUUCUAACGUGGGCCCCUUACCGGGGUUGCGGACAGUGUCUGGUGGGUAGUUUGACUGGGGCGGUCUCCUCCUAAAGAGUAACGGAGGAGCACGAAGGUUGGCUAAUCCUGGUCGGACAUCAGGAGGUUAGUGCAAUGGCAUAAGCCAGCUUGACUGCGAGCGUGACGGCGCGAGCAGGUGCGAAAGCAGGUCAUAGUGAUCCGGUACCUCGGUAUGCCUUGUGACUGGCUUGACAAGCUUUUCCUCCGCUCCGUAAACUCCUUUUAGUGGGAAAUUGUGGGGCAAAGUGGGAAUAAGGGGUGAGGCUGGCAUGUUCCGGGGAGCAACGUUAGUCAAUCUCGACAGCAAAGGGCGCUUAUCAGUGCCUACCCGUUAUCGGGAACAGCUGCUUGAGAACGCUGCCGGUCAAAUGGUUUGCACCAUUGACAUUCAUCACCCGUGCCUGCUGCUUUACCCCCUGCCUGAAUGGGAAAUUAUCGAGCAAAAAUUAUCGCGUCUGUCGAGCAUGAACCCGGUUGAGCGCCGUGUGCAGCGCCUACUGUUAGGUCAUGCCAGCGAAUGUCAGAUGGAUGGCGCAGGUCGAUUGUUAAUCGCGCCAGUACUGCGGCAACAUGCCGGGCUGACAAAAGAAGUGAUGCUG
This 2831-nucleotide ribosomal RNA is filed under the name human gut metagenome. RNAcentral describes it as "bacterial LSU rRNA". It matches the Rfam family "Bacterial large subunit ribosomal RNA". The record is from RNAcentral.